AUGCUCAUUUCAGCAGCACAUAUACUAAAAUUGGAACGAUACAGAGAAGAUUAGCAUGGCCCCUCCCCAAUCGUGGAGUGUUCCAUAUUUAAACAAAAAAAUAGUAU
This is a non-coding RNA of Loxodonta africana (African savanna elephant), 107 nucleotides long. The record is from Rfam. Lineage: Eukaryota; Metazoa; Chordata; Mammalia; Proboscidea; Elephantidae.